UACGAAGGGGGCUAGCGUUGCUCGGAAUCACUGGGCGUAAAGGGUGCGUAGGCGGGUCUUUAAGUCAGGGGUGAAAUCCUGGAGCUCAACUCCAGAACUGCCUUUGAUACUGAGGAUCUUGAGUCCGGGAGAGGUGAGUGGAACUCUGAGUGUAGAGGUGAAAUUCGUAGAUAUUCGGAAGAACACCAGUGGCGAAGGCGGCUCACUGGCCCGGUACUGACGCUGAGGUGCGAAAGCGUGGGGAGCAAACAGG
Molecule: ribosomal RNA, 253 nt
Filed under: uncultured bacterium
Lineage: Bacteria
Description: partial 16S ribosomal RNA
Rfam family: Bacterial small subunit ribosomal RNA
Source: RNAcentral